AUUUGUAAUAUCAAGAUGACGUAGGUUGAUGAGAUUCUCUAUUUUUGAAGGUAAGUAUUUAAGAAAGGAGCAUUCUUUUAGUAACAAGGUCUGCAAGUUGUAUAGUGAACAUGUUGACUCUGGUAAACAUGUAAUUCUAGUGUGAGAAAGGUUAAGAAACCUUAAAUGUUUCAAUUCACCAAUGGAAUCAGGUAACUUGCUAAUGUUAUAAGAACAUAAAGACAGUACCCUCAAAUACCUUAACUUUGGCAACAAAUCAUAAAGAACAUGAUUAGUCAACCAACAACCUUGAUCACCUGUAAGAGGUAGAGGCAAGAAGGUUCGCAAGCAAUCAGUCAUAUGGAAGACCUCAAACUUUUUGAUGCCAUCACAGUAUUCACGAACAUAAGAGGAGUGGCGAGCCCUUCUGGAUACUUUGGAUUGCUUCUUGUCUUCCAUCUCUCCAUCCAGCACGAAGCAUGUCUCCCCAGCAGCCCAUUGAGCCAGAUCAUUCACAAGGUCAUGCAUUACAAAACAAGACUUAUCACUGCUUGAUAUUUGAAAAAUUGACCUUGACACUAGAUCUUGAAAAUACUCCCCACCUAGA
This 586-nucleotide unclassified non-coding RNA is filed under the name Hevea brasiliensis (rubber tree). The record is from RNAcentral. Lineage: Eukaryota; Viridiplantae; Streptophyta; Magnoliopsida; Malpighiales; Euphorbiaceae.